UUUAGUGCAGCGCGGUUGUUGUGUGUGGAUCGUGGGUAUUGUGGAUAUCUAGCCAGCUAUAUUUUCCUCCGUUUGUUUAUAUAAGUUUGUUAUUUUACUUUGUUUUUUUUAUCCUUUUCAGGGAUAAUUUAGAUUUGAGUUUUUAAUGGAGAAUCUUUUGCCUAAAAAUGAUCUUGGAGAACAUAAAAAACAGUUCCAGGCCUGGUUGGAGGUGGAAGCGUGCAAAAAGAACUCCACAAUAAUGUCCCAAGAGACCUAUCACGACAUUGUUUAAUACUUGAAAAAACAAAAGAGCGAUGUAUCAGAAAGUACUGUAAGGCGUAUCAGACGAAACAAGUAUGUUUUGAUGAGUUACCCUACACUUGGGUUGGUGGAUAUUUUAUGUGUUCCUAGCACUACAGUUGAUGUAAGUCAUUUUUUAUUCUCCUUUAUAGUUUAAUUAUACUGCAUUUUAUUACACAUUCAUGUACCUAGGUAUAUAUUAUAUAUAUACUUUUUUAUACUUUUUAUGGUGUUUGUAAUUUUUACAUUUUCCAUUGUGAGCAAUGCUUAGCUAUUCGUCAUCUCUAAAGGCCAAAAAUAUGAACAACAAACUACAAUAGCAGAAGAGUAAAGAUACAUGUUACUUAAUACCCAUGGAUUGUUUCUUUGGCAAUUUCAGUUUUGGCAUGACCUCUGAAUUAUGUUUCAGUUACUGUGGUAAACUGAGAUGGUUUUUUAUCCUGUUAUGUAAUUUUUCUUUUUUUGUUAUUUCUGUAUAUAUACCAUAAUUCUUAGAUAAUAAAAUCAAGAUUCAUAGACUGACUUUCGAUUCAGUCAUCCAAUUGGUAGGAUGUCCUGUUAACAGGAUAAUGCAGGUUCGAAUCCUGUCUGAAUCAGUUCUGUUCUUUAUAAUGGCUAUAUACAGUAGAUGUUUUUGUAAGUAUGUAUUAUAUAUAAUCGUUGAUUUGACAUAAUAUUUAUAUAUAUCUAAAUGCUUUUUUCAGUGCAACGCAACUCUGGGAAAUUUUAAGAGGGUAUGCACAGGAAACAAGAUGUUUGACAUAAUUGAAGGAAUCCAUAGCAAGGAACUCAUCCAUUGUGGUUCAAGAAAAACUUUUGAACAGAACAAGAAGAUCAGUCAACGCGAGAUUUAAAUGCCAGGUGGAAAACUUUCGCGAAACGAAAUCACAACCUAAUGCAACGUUUGCUUUCUGA
Molecule: long non-coding RNA, 1197 nt
Organism: Hydractinia symbiolongicarpus
Lineage: Eukaryota; Metazoa; Cnidaria; Hydrozoa; Anthoathecata; Hydractiniidae
Exons: 2
Source: RefSeq, a predicted model, not a curated record